Long non-coding RNA from Cucumis sativus (cucumber), 852 nucleotides. RefSeq lists it as uncharacterized. The record is from RefSeq and is a predicted model, not a curated record. The transcript has 2 exons. NCBI's taxonomy places the organism in Eukaryota, Viridiplantae, Streptophyta, Magnoliopsida, Cucurbitales, Cucurbitaceae.
AAAGAGUGCCUAGAAUGAAUGUGAGGUGAAGAAAAGGAUGGGUGGUUUGGGAGAGAAUGCUUUGAAACUCCCAGCUGAGUUAAGGAGGAGUCAGGUGAAAUAAAGAAGAACCCUGCAAAUAGGCAUGUAAUUAAUGUGAAAUUGGGGUUAUUCUGCCAUUGAAAAACAAUGAUGAGGGGCAUGAAACAAUCAUUAUUGCAAAGCAUGCGCACAUGUCCUUGGAGUUUCCAAUAUGCGACUGACUUUUGAGCACUGUUGACAGGAGACUGCAUAUCUUUUCAGAACAAUUUAAUUGGUGGCUUUGCUUUAUUUAGUAUCCUUUUGGAUAUGUAACCACCUGUUUCACAGUUGAAAGAUUUUAAGCCAACCAAGUUCUUCACACACAAGUCAAAAACCAAACCCCUUUAUUCUUCUUCGAUUUCAUUCUCAAGUACAUCUCCUCCGAUUUGAAAAGGAUGGUUCAAUUCUGGAAACGGAAGUUUCCAUUUAGAUUCAAGACGCAACUUUUAUAGCUUCAUGAAUUGGGCCCCAGCUACACGGUUUCAUGACUGGUGGGUUUAUGUGUUCGUGUCUCAUUCUUCCAGAUCAAGAGCAAAUAAGAAUUUAGCUCCAAUGUCAAAGACUUGCACAGAAAAAGUAAAACACUCCGUCUUUGCAGUCAACAACACAAUCAAAUCUAUCUAAACCACAGCACUCACAAUCAAUGGAAAAUAUCAGAGUGGAAGCAAACCGGGAGUUUAUUAAAUUAUGGUAUCGUAGUUUUGUGUUUAUGAAUUAUAAUCCAGUUGAUUCAAUAUCUGUAUUGCCCCCUUAGGGAGUAGGUUCGUUACAUGAUACAAUUGGUUGGGUUUC